RNAcentral lists this ribosomal RNA (433 nucleotides) under uncultured bacterium. Its description in RNAcentral is "partial 16S ribosomal RNA". It matches the Rfam family "Bacterial small subunit ribosomal RNA", at positions 29 to 507 of the family's 1533-position model. The record is from RNAcentral.
AACGAACGCUGGCGGCAUGCCUAACACAUGCAAGUCGAACGAGACCUUCGGGUCUAGUGGCGCACGGGUGCGUAACGCGUGGGAAUCUACCCUCAGGUUCGGAAUAACUCAGAGAAAUUUGAGCUAAUACCGGAUGAUGACGUAAGUCCAAAGAUUUAUCGCCUGAGGAUGAGCCCGCGUAGGAUUAGGUAGUUGGUGAGGUAAAGGCUCACCAAGCCGACGAUCCUUAGCUGGUCUGAGAGGAUGAUCAGCCACACUGGGACUGAGACACGGCCCAGACUCCCACGGGAGGCAGCGGGGGGGAAUAUUGGAAAAGGGGCGAAAGCUUGAUCCAGCAGUGCCGGGUGGGUGAUGAGGGCCUGGGGGUUGUAAAGCUCUUUUCCCCGGAAUAAAAAUAACAUUACGGGGAGAAUAAGCCCGGGCAAACUCCGUG